AAGAAGUUAGUUAAAAAAUAACAUUUACUUGUCAAGUAAAAAUUAUAAAAAUAUACAUCUUG
Molecule: transfer RNA, 62 nt
Filed under: Penthicodes atomaria
Lineage: Eukaryota; Metazoa; Arthropoda; Insecta; Hemiptera; Fulgoridae
Description: tRNA-Asp
Source: RNAcentral